AACGAACGCUGGCGGCAGGCCUAACACAUGCAAGUCGAGCGGCCCACCACCUGAUGUGGUGGGCAGAUAUCAGAGAUCGGAUGUCGGAUGUCGGAAGUCGGAUCGGAAGGCUUUGUGCUUUGCGGUUUUGACUUUUUGACAUCUGAUUUCCGACAUCCGACAUCUGCCCACCGCCUUUGGCGGUGGGCAGCGGCAGACGGGUGAGUAACGCGUGGGAACGNGCC
Molecule: ribosomal RNA, 224 nt
Filed under: uncultured bacterium
Lineage: Bacteria
Description: partial 16S ribosomal RNA
Source: RNAcentral